Molecule: long non-coding RNA, 8870 nt
Filed under: Cricetulus griseus (Chinese hamster)
Lineage: Eukaryota; Metazoa; Chordata; Mammalia; Rodentia; Cricetidae
Description: lncRNA (ENSCGRG00015031274.1)
Source: RNAcentral
GCAUAAUAUUCUGAGCAAUUUUGCAACAAUAAAUGGUGGAAUAGGCAAGCAUUUCAAGAAUCAACCAAGAAAAAAUUCAAGAAAAGAAAAAGUUUACAUACAUACACUUCAAGUGUACACAACAGCAUGUCAGAGGCACAAUUAUGGGCAGUGAAAAGGGCAGCUACCUUUGUUAGAAUAUUAUUUUCAGUAGUGUGACUUCUGUUUAUACUGCAUUUGUUUAACUCUGUGAAGCUGAGUUACUGUGCCUGUCUAAAACACCUCAUGGUCCUAAUAAAGAGCUGAAUGGUCAAUAGUGAGGCAGGAGCAAGGAUAAGCAGGGCUGGCAAAAAGUAUAAAUAAAAGGAGAAAGGAGGGAGAAAAGAAGGAGAGGAGAAUGUCAGGGACCAGCCACCCAGCCAGCCACAGAGCAGGAAGGAAAGUAAAAUUUACAGAAGAAAAAGAUAAAACCCCAGAGACAAAAGGUAGAUGGCGUAAUUUAAAUUAAGAAAAGCUGGCGAGAAAUAAGCCAAGCUAAGGCUGGGCAUUCAUGACUACGAAUAAGCCUCCAUGUGCAAUUUAUCUGGAAGCUGGGUGGCGGGCCCCCCAAAAAAGACAAAAGAGAAAAGAGUAAAACAAUACAGCUACUCCGAACUAGAGAAAGGCCCAUAGACCUUUCAGGCCCCAGGUAAACUCAUUUAUGUCUUUGUCUACAGAGAAAGGAAUUAUUACCUCAUCAGGAAUCUGCCAUAAAGACCAAGACACACUAGCUGUUGAUGCAACAUGCUUCUCACACAAUCACCUAACUGUGUAAGAUCAGACUCUUUUACCUCAUGGCUACAAAAACUAAAGCCAAUGAGCCAAACCUAUGCAUUCUCCUCAAUUCAAGGCAAAGGGUGAAAUCCAUGCAUGUCUAAAAAACUUCCCAGGAAAAACUUGUGCUAUGAGAUAUGUGGCAUGUGGUGGUUUGAAUGAAAAUGGCCCCCAUUGGACCAUAGGGAGAGGCACUAUUAGGGGGUUUGGCCUUCCUGGAGAAGGUGUGGCUUUGUUGAAGGAUGUGUGUCACUGCAGGCUUUGAGGUCUCAGAUCCUCAAGCCAGGACUAGUGUUUCACUCACUCUUCCUGAUGCCUUCAGAUCCAGAUAUAGGACUCUUAGCUACCUCUCCAGCACCAGGUCUGCUUAUGUGCUCCUUGCCAUGAUGACAAUGGACUAAACCUCUAAGCUUGUAAGGCAGGCCCAAUUAAAUGUUUUCUUUUAUAAUGGUUGCCAAGGUCAUGGUGUCUCUUCACAGCAGUAAAAUCCUAACUAAGACAUGGCAUAAAUUAAAAUUCACAACGAUAGAAAUCAAAUAAUUAGCAUAAAAAUCUUUUGCCAACAUACCACAAAUUAUCUUGGACGGUUUUAAAAAGCCAAACACAAUGAAGCCAGCAGGUGAAACUCCUGACUACUAUUCAGCCUCAGACCUGCAAUAUCCCAGGAAUUCUGCUAGGAUGAGGGGUUACUGUGUCACUAACUCCUGAAGAACUCCCACUCUGUUCAAAGCAACAGACUUGUAAACAGACAAAUUUAAGAUAACAAUUUAUGUUUUAGAAGUACUCGGGACUGGAGAGAUAGCUGACAGGGAAAAAUGUUUGCUGUGCAAGCAUAAGGAUUUGAGUUUGGAUCCUCAGCACACACUUAAAAAUCCAGGUGUGGCAGGUAAAAUCCUAGCACUAGGGAGGCAGGCUGAGCCCUGGGGUCUGUUGUCCAGGCAGUUAAUAAUUAGUGAGCAUGAGUUUCGGAGAGAGCCCUGUCUUAAAAGAUAAUGUAGACUCACACAGGAAGACACCUGGAGAGUGUGUGACAUGAACUCAUUGCACACACACACACACACACACACACACACACACACACACAGAGAGAGAGAGAGAGAGAGAGAGAGAGAGAGAGAGAGAGAGAGAGAGAUACCUCCACUCCCUCUGGCUCAAACAGUCAUUCUUUCCAGCUUCUCAGCACUAUUAGAAUCCAAAAUAGGAAAUUCCAUCCUUCUGUCAUUGUUGAAUACAUGGGAAUCUGAAUCCAUCAUUUCUGUUUAAAGUAUCUUUCAGAAGUCUGUAAUUAAGAGACAAUACUGAAACCAAAAAUCUAGUUUACACAGAUUGCCUGUCACACGUCAGGCAGGCAAUUAUAGGGAAAGCGAUUGGCCUGUUCUCAGAAAAGAACAGAAAAGAAUUUUCAAAUUAAGGAAGGGCAGUGUUUCCUUUCUAUGCAUUAGCCCAGUGAAUCAUUAUUACAUUAACAACAGAAAUUAAAAUAAGAAAGCCACAGGUAAUUAUAAAAUGUGAAAUGUGGACUGAGGAGAAGGAUUCGAUUGGUAAAAGUGUUUGCUGCUGGAGACUGAUCACCUGGGUUCAACAUCCAGCACCCAUGUAAAAAGCAGAUGCUGUGGUCCAUCAGUAAUCCUAGGCUUCCAGAGACAAGGUGAGAAACAGGACAGGAGGACAGAGUCGCAGGCCACACUGCCUCAGCGAGGAGGGAAGUUGAGGACUGACUCCCAGAAAAUGCUGUCCUCUGAGCUUUUCACAUCUGCGCACAUAUGAGAACUGUCACACAGUUAAAGUAAAAAUAAGUAAUAAAACAUGAAAUUCAAGUCAAUCUAGAUGUUCUGCUAAGCUGCCCACUGUAAAAGUUGUAGGGGAGGUUAAGACUGAAGAACACAGGUUAUAAAAAGUAACAUGCUGUGGUGACGCCAUUCUCAAUCCAAAGCCAGCAUGACUCAGUUGACUUGAAAUGGAAAACUUGAUCUUGGAUUUCUGUAUAUUUUUUUAAAAGAUGCUAUCCCAGUAAUAAUACAAUUUUUAUGUUUUUAGUUGAAGACUAAAUUCUAUUACAUAUAACAACCGAGAACUGUCUCUAGCCAUCAGUACAAGCAUUUCUGUGUGCAUACUUUCCCCUCCCCUACAACUGUUACUAAUCUCACCCUUAUUUCCUACCUGGAAAUAAGGAAUAAGGAAACAUUAAAAGUAUAAAAUGACUGCAGCAUAGACAUGGGAAUGCUUCUGUGCAGGAAAGCUGGAAGAGCGGCUCAUCAAAGCCUGGCCUUUAAAGUGGGCCUUGAACAGGAGCAGUGCUUUGUAAUAUGAGGGAUUUAGUGAAGAGGAGUGUGACAUGCAAAGGCAGGGAACUGUGAACAGCUGUUGUGCACAUCUGGGAUCAGCAAGGUCUCCCAGUAUGACUGGGGUGAUGACUGUGCCAGCGGGGGGAGCCUGGACCACACAGCAGGGUCUAACUAGAUGACCACUAAUUUGUGAGAUGCCAAGUUAGAAGAAGCACCUAAUCUUGGAGGGGUAGGUGUAGGGGAUUUUGUGAUGGAGUUUCAGAGUCCUAAAUGAUGUUAACUCCAAGUGAUGGUUUUCCAGAUAUGGAGAACAGCAAAGAGCGAAUGUUUUGCAACCAACUGUCCACAACUGUUACAUCUGAUCAAUUAAAAAAUGUCAUCUUUUGCCAUCAUGAUGUCAAAUUUCGAUUUUCAACCACGAUCCUUUUGCUUGCCUCCAAACAAUUUUGCUUCUCCAAUAUGUUCUGUCAUUUGCAAUAUAUUAGGAAACUAAUUGUGAAAUUUUUACAGGAAUGAAUCUAAACUAUGAGUAAACAUGACAAGUAAACACCUAAACUGAAAAGAGGCUUUUGGAGUUUUGACAGGAGGAAUUUGGCUUCUUAAAAUGCUUUUCUGCCAAUUUCCUGAUUUUCUCCUUUGUUUUACAUGGUUCAGGAAAUUGGAUGAACAACAGCCCCAGGCUAGCCCAGAAAAUACUCCACAGCUCUUAACCUUUUCUCUAGCCCUGCUGCUGCUUUCAUUCUUUCCGAUUACAAGGAAGCAAUCAGUGCAGGAACAGAACUCAAGACUUGAGAUUGGGUCUCACUGUGUAGUCCCGGUAGCCUGGAAUUUGCUCUGUAGAUGAGGCUGGCCUACAAAUCACAAAGAUCUGACAGCUUCUGUGUCCCAAGUGAUGAGAUUAGUGUGCCACCAUGCUCAGCCAAGACUGGUAUUUAUUGACUUCAACAUAAAAAGUACACUAUGGUACACACUUCUUUUAUACCCAUAAUUUUUUCUUUAAAUGUUAUUACUUACAUAGAAAAAAAAUCCUACUUGUUCUGCACUCUCAGCAAUUUAUAUAUGAGCAGCUAAUAAUGUAAAAAUGGUACAACCAACUACAUAAUCUUUUCUUUUCUCUUUCCCCACCAUAUCCCACUUCUGUAGCUGUCAUCUUAAUCCAAAAGCCCACAAUUCCUGUUUUAUCUGUGGCUUUCAAUGAUGACCUCCAGCUUCUUGUAUAUAUUUACAGUUUCAGCUAAAUAAACAUCUCUCAAGAACCCUAAAACCAAUAUAAUUUCCUCAGUUCUGGGGGUAUGUACUUUAUGAGGCUAGCAGCUGAUAGCAAAUACAUGUAGGAGUGUGGCCAAAGAACCUUGUCAACAGUUUUCACUUAUUUCAGGACAAAUAUCCUCACCUGACAGCAUCUCUCUUGGGGAACCAUGCAAUCUGAAUUAACUAUGCUACACGAAUUAAUACAUAUCAAGAUAGGGGGCAGGGGACAAGCCUGACAUUAUAUAACUGAAUGCAGAGCCUAACUCACCAGCCCUUGGUGAGCUUGUGGAAACACAAGCCAAGCUCCAUGCCACUUAGGAAAACAUUCAGGAGCAACUUUAAAGAAUUGACACAAUGGCAGCAAAACUGCUGAGGUCUGAAAGCGCAUCCCAGAAUGCUCCUCUGAUUUAUAAGGAAAAACAGAAAAAGCUAGAAAUGAUAGACCCCUUUAAUAUAGGGAACAAGCAAGUAGGACAGGUGCACACACACGAUACUGGUUGUUGUAAGCAAGCAGCACCCGAUGAAAACCUUCACAGAAAAGGAAAACGAGGAGCAGUGGGUGUGCAGGGUCAUGGCUCCAGUCUCUUUCAGCAGAGUCCCACCAUGAUUACCCCAGGACCCCCCACCCCCACAUAUACACACACACAAACUUGUGCACACAGGGGCACUCAUGUGCACACUUCUCCCCAUCAUUCUCUGUCCCUUGGUCUUUUUUCUUUCUUUCUUUCUUUUUUUUAUAAUAAGACAGAAUGUCAUGUAGCCUAGUUUGGUUUUGAACUCCUGAUCUUGUCUCCCCAUUUAAAUAUAUAUAUGUAUAUAUAUUUAAAAAUUAUCUUCCACUCAAAAUCUGAAGUUUGAAAAAAAAUCAGAAAAUAUCAUAUGAAAAUCUACUAAAAUACCUUGAAAUGUCUCUACAAUUUUAUUUUACCUACAAUGUAGCAUUAUAGUAUUAGUUCCACACAGACAUCUCCAUAAAUUUAGAUAGAUGUUAAAACGUAUGUAGUUAUCUGUUCUAAAAAAGCAAAAGCAAACCACAUUGUUCUGGUCUGGGGAAUGACUCUGGUACUCUGAGCUCAUAGUUGCUUAGGUAUCUACAAGGUUUCUCUUCCUAGUCACUGCCCCUUAGAUCAGCACAUCUUUCUAUUUACAGAGGUAGUGAAUUCUCCUUGCAGAAAGGGUUAAUUUAUAAAGCAUAUAGCAGACAUGACUAAAUCUUCUCAUUUGUAUCAUUUAGGCAGCUAACACGUCAGACAGCUUAAAGUUAAAAAAGAAAGCAGGAGCUGUUGAUAAACUCUCAUUCCCAGCACACUACUGCUUCUAAUAGAUGGAACGAGUAUUUUAUUUUUAUUUUAUGUGUACUAGUGCCUGUAUGUAUGUCUGUGUGACCAAUACAUACGUGCCUGGUACCUAAAGGGACCAGAAAAGGGAAUCAGAUGCCCCAGAACUGGAGUUACUGACAUUUGUGAGCCACUAUGUGGAUCCUUGGGAUGGAACCUAUGUCCUCUGUAAGAGAAGCCAGUACUCUUAAGAGUGGAGCAGAGACAAAUAUCUAAUAGAAUCAGAAGACAAUGAAUAUGAGCUCAAUACUAGAUACAAGAAGCUCAUUCAAGUCACACAGAAUUUGACAGGUAUAAACAGGCACCAUGUCAAGAGCAAGUGAUAGAAAAAUUAACGUUCUCUACUCUCAAACUCAACAGGUCCUGGAAGUGUCAAACAGGUAUACAAUUUUAAAAAGUGCUAUUGGAGUUUGAGAAUGCAAUGGAAAGACUUGUAAACCAUUAGGAAACAUUAUAUACAGAACAAGAAAAAAAAUUCCAAAACACCUGACUCUGGGAAGCUGGAAGGAAAUUGGAAUACAUCAAAAGCCACAUUUUAAAAAAUUUAAUAAUUAUAAAGGGCAUAGUCAUAAGUAGAGACAAACACCUACAAUUAAAGAUUCAUACUGAGAGAUUAAUUAACAGAGAGGAAACAUAUCCAUAUAAGGGACUAGCCACAGGACAGAUCAAUUUACAUCAUGUUAAAGAGAAAACUUACAGAGGGGAAAUCAUGUCAGUUUUUUAAAAACAAUACAUUCAUACUUUAUUACUUCAAGGAAGUGAAAACAUAUACAGCACCAAAAUAAUUAAAAUUUAAAGUUGGUUGUAUAUCAGACACAGAAUAAGUGAUUUUCUUUUAAAAAUUUUUUUAUCUUAAGGUAAUUUUUAUCUCCAUAUAGUCUGUGCACCACCACCAUGUGUGCCUAGUGACUGUGGAGGGCAGAAGAAGGCAUCAGAUACCCUAGAACUAGAGUUAUAGGAGGUUCUAAGCCACCAUGUGGGUGUUAGCAAUCAAACCUGGGUACUCUUGGACCCAGUGCUCAGUGCUCUUAACCACUGAGCCAUCUCUCCAGUCUGACUUUCUUUUACAUUACUCUAUAUCUUCCAAACAUCAUCUAAAAUUAGUGGUAUUUUACUUUUAGGUAGUAAAACGCUAGUAAGUCACUGUAUUUGUAGAUAACUGUGUGUGAGGUAUGUGCGGUUUCAUGUGUAGAGGUAUACACAUACACCUGUGUGCAUGUGUAUAUGGAAGCCGAUGAUGGGUUAGGUACCUUUCUCUUGCUCUCUACUUUAUUUAAGAUGGCAGGGUCUCUCACUGAACCCAUAGCUCACUGAUUCAGCUAAUCAGCUUGCUCCCUGUCUCUAACUCUCAAGGAUGGACCAGAAGUGAGCCUCCACACUCACCUGGCAUUUAGAGGGUGUUAGAGAUCCAAACUCCUGUCCCUUUGUGUAUGCCAAACAUUUUAUUCAUUCACUCAAUCAUCUCCCCACCCCGAGAAUAAUCUUUGAAAACAAUAAAUAACCCCUUUAAUCUGUUUCUGUAGACUAUCUCACCUACAAAUCCCACAGAACCCACUCACUUAACUGUCUUAGAACAGUGGGUUACAAGUAAAAAAAAGUAUAUGGCAAUUCAUCUUAUUCAAUUAUUUUAAAUUUCCUUUUUCUGGUCAGAGUAACUGAAAUUAGUUAGGUACUAGAAAAAUAGCUCUAAAACAUGACUAUGAUAUUAUAUGGCAAUCCACUGUUCUUUUAACUAAGGACUUAGGAAUUUGAACUUUAAGUAGGAUGGGCUUGAAGGAGAAAUGAAGGUGGAGAAAUGAAGAAAUGAAAAAAAGACCUGCAAAGUAUCUACAGAAUAUCUUUGAAAAAAAAAAUCAGUCACAUCUGCAUUACUCCUUUAUGUUUCUAUAAAAGUGAAUUAUUUUUAUCCAAAGUAACUUGGUUUGUAUAUAUAAGUCACUAGAGAUUGCAAAAAGACACAGGAAUUAACAGGUGACAUAUCUGGGAUACCUACAUAUUUAAAUUUAUUCAUCCAUAGUUUUGACAAAAUUUUACCGAACAUUAAGUUUGUUUAGAGCAAAGAUCCACAAUACUCUUUUAAAUAUCCAUAAUCUCCUUAGUUGUCCUAUAUCAUUUUCUACUCAGAGGCAACUAUAAACUAUGCUUUUCAAUCUAUUAACUAUUCAUUUUAUUACUUAUUAUGUUUCAGAUUUUAGAUACUGCUUCCCACCUCUACCCCAAAUACUGCAAGUAUAAAAGGCUAAUUACCAACCUAGCCUACUGUGAGGCAGUGGACAUACUAGAAGGAAGUUAGGUCACUGAGGGUGUGCCCUUGAAGGAGAUACUAGAGCCUGCCCAUUCCCUGCUUCUGGGCUACCCUGGGGUUAUCGAGUCCUCUAUCUACCACAUGCUUCUGCCACAACAUGCCUUACCACAGGCCCAGACCAAUUGGGCAAGGCAAUCAGGAACCCAAAUCUCUGAAAUCAUGAGCCCAAAUCAGCUUCUCCUCCAAGUUGACUUAUUUGGGGUAUAUCACUACAAUGAUGGCAAGGUGAUUAACAGUGCCUAUCUUCAUCUUUACAGAUAAUUCUGACAGCACAGCUCCCCUGCUUUUCCAGUCUGAGGUUUCAGAUACUCUUUUCAGCAACACUUUCCUCUAGCUCCCAGCACCAACACAGAUGAUGCCUAAAGUUCUCUGAUCUAAACGAUAGAGUAGUACAAGUCAGUAAUAACAUGAUUUAUUUGAACCAAAAUGCCUGUUAAUAGAAUAAAUUGUGUUAUAACUGUAUAAUGAUGUCCUCAUCAGAAAUAAAAAGAAACAAACUAUUAAUAGAUACAUGGAUGGAUUCCAAAUAAUUAGACUGAGCAUAUACUGUAUGAUUCUACAUACAUAUAGUUGUAGAAAUUUCAAAUUAAUCUAUGGGGACAGAUCAGUGGUUACCUGAGGAGAGCAGCAGGGAGCUCGUGGGGGGUAGUACGUAUAAAGAGAUCUAAAGACAUUUUUGGGGAGAUGACUACACUUAGUAAUUGACGGUGGUAAAUCACAACUCUCACUUUAAACAAUAUGAUGUUUACUGCACAGUAUCAAAUCUUAAAAAAGCAUUAAGAAAAAUUUUAUAUUUGAUUUUUUUUAAGUAAGACAACCAGGGUAAAUCAAAGGUAUAACUACCAGUAUGUGCUUUCUAAUGAAUUUCACUACAGAAGACCUGGCAAAGACUCCUUCCCU